This 253-nucleotide ribosomal RNA is filed under the name uncultured bacterium. RNAcentral's name for it is "partial 16S ribosomal RNA". It matches the Rfam family "Bacterial small subunit ribosomal RNA", at positions 524 to 776 of the family's 1533-position model. The record is from RNAcentral.
UACAGAGGUGGCAAGCGUUGUUCGGAAUUACUGGGCGUAAAGGGCGCGUAGGCGGUCUUCUAAGUCUUGUGUGAAAUCCCUCGGCUUAACUGAGGAACUGCACGGGAUACUGGAAGACUUGAGUUCGGGAGAGGGAAGCGGAAUUCCGGGUGUAGCGGUGGAAUGCGCAGAUAUCAGGAGGAACACCGAUGGCGAAGGCAGAUCUCUGGGCCGUAACUGACGCUGAGGAGCGAAAGCGUGGGGAGCGAACAGG